This 394-nucleotide ribosomal RNA is filed under the name uncultured bacterium. RNAcentral's name for it is "bacterial SSU rRNA". It matches the Rfam family "Bacterial small subunit ribosomal RNA", at positions 30 to 423 of the family's 1533-position model. The record is from RNAcentral.
AUUGAACGCUGGCGGCAUGCCUUACACAUGCAAGUCGAACGGCAGCACGGACUUCGGUCUGGUGGCGAGUGGCGAACGGGUGAGUAAUAUAUCGGAACAUACCCUAGAGUGGGGGAUAACGUAGCGAAAGUUACGCUAAUACCGCAUACGAACUAAGGUUGAAAGCGGGGGAUCUUCGGACCUCGUGCUCAUGGAGUGGCCGAUAUCUGAUUAGCUAGUUGGUGAGGUAAAGGCUCACCAAGGCGACGAUCAGUAGCUGGUUUGAGAGAACGACCAGCCACACUGGAACUGAGACACGGUCCAGACUCCUACGGGAGGCAGCAGUGGGGAAUUUUGGACAAUGGGGGCGAACCCUGAUCCAGCAAUGCCGCGUGAGUGAAGAAGGCCUUCGGUU